RNAcentral lists this ribosomal RNA (531 nucleotides) under Staphylococcus aureus. RNAcentral describes it as "partial 23S ribosomal RNA". It matches the Rfam family "Bacterial large subunit ribosomal RNA", at positions 1288 to 1919 of the family's 2925-position model. The record is from RNAcentral. Lineage: Bacteria; Bacillati; Bacillota; Bacilli; Caryophanales; Staphylococcaceae.
GUGCGAAUGCAGACAUGAGUAGCGAUAAAGAGGGUGAGAUGCCCUCUCGCCGAAAGACCAAGGGUUCCUGCGCAAGGCUAAUCCGCGCAGGGUGAGCCGGCCCCUAAGACGAGCCCGAAGGGGGUAGUCGAUGGGAACCACGUUAAUAUUCGUGGGCCUGGUGGUGUGUGACGGAUCUCGUGUGUUGUACGUCCUUAUCGGAUUGGACGUGCCUCGAAGAGGUCCCGGGAAAUAGCCCCACCGUAUAGACCGUACCCGAAACCGACACAGGUGGUCAGGUAGAGUAUACCAAGGCGCUUGAGAGAAGUGUCCUGAAGGAACUCGGCAAAUUGCCUCCGUACCUUCGGAAGAAGGAGGCCCCAUGUAAGCGCAAGCUCUCAUGGGGGGCACAGGCCAGGGGGUAGCGACUGUUUAGCAAAAACACAGGGCUCUGCUAAGUCGGCUUCAAGACGACGUAUAGGGCCUGACGCCUGCCCGGUGCCUGAAGGUUAAGUGGAGGAGUGCAAGCUCUGAAACUGUCUCUUAUACACC